GAUGAACGCUGGCGGCGUGCCUAAUACAUGCAAGUCGAGCGAACGGACGAGAAGCUUGCUUCUCUGAUAUUAGCGGCGGACGGGUGAGUAACACGUGGAUAACCUACCUAUAAGACUGGGAUAACUUCGGGAAACCGGAGCUAAUACCGGAUAAUAUUUUGAACCGCAUGGUUCAAAAGUGAAAGACGGUCUUGCUGUCACUUAUAGAUGGAUCCGCGCUGCAUUAGCUAGUUGGUAAGGUAACGGCUUACCAAGGCAACGAUGCAUAGCCGACCUGAGAGGGUGAUCGGCCACACUGGAACUGAGACACGGUCCAGACUCCUACGGGAGACAGCAGUAGGGAAUCUUCCGCAAUGGGCGAAAGCCUGACGGAGCAACGCCGCGUGAGUGAUGAAGGUCUUCGGAUCGUAAAACUCUGUUAUUAGGGAAGAACAUAUGUGUAAGUAACUGUGCACAUCUUGACGGUACCUAAUCAGAAAGCCACGGCUAACUACGUG
Molecule: ribosomal RNA, 497 nt
Filed under: uncultured bacterium
Lineage: Bacteria
Description: partial 16S ribosomal RNA
Rfam family: Bacterial small subunit ribosomal RNA
Source: RNAcentral